GGCGGAACUGAGCGAUAACACGCUGGCUUUGUACGCGCCAAACCGUUUCGUGCUCGAUUGGGUAAGGGAUAAAUACCUUAAUAACAUCAAUGGACUGCUGAACGAUUUCUGCGGGUCAGAUGCCCCACAGCUGCGUUUUGAAGUGGGCACAAAGCCGGUCACCCAAACCGUUCGUGAAGUUGUCAAUGUGGCAGCCCCUGCACAGGCGGCGCCCGCUCCAGCGCCUCGCGUUGCACCGGCUCGUCAGGGCUGGGAUAACGUUCCAGCCCCCGCUGAGCCUACCUACCGCUCUAAUGUUAACGUGAAACACACGUUCGAUAACUUCGUUGAAGGUAAGUCGAACCAGCUGGCGCGCGCGGCGGCCCGCCAGGUUGCCGAUAAUCCCGGUGGUGCUUACAACCCGCUGUUCCUUUAUGGCGGCACGGGUCUCGGUAAAACGCACCUGCUGCAUGCGGUGGGCAACGGCAUUAUGGCGCGUAAGCCCAAUGCCAAAGUAGUGUAUAUGCACUCCGAACGCUUCGUUCAGGACAUGGUAAAAGCCCUGCAAAACAAUGCGAUCGAAGAGUUUAAACGUUACUACCGUUCCGUUGAUGCGCUGCUGAUCGAUGACAUCCAGUUCUUUGCCAAUAAAGAACGAUCGCAGGAAGAGUUUUUCCACACCUUUAACGCCCUGCUGGAAGGCAAUCAGCAGAUCAUUUUGACCUCGGAUCGUUAUCCAAAAGAGAUCAACGGCGUUGAAGAUCGUCUCAAAUCCCGCUUCGGCUGGGGCCUGACCGUGGCGAUCGAGCCGCCGGAGCUGGAAACCCGCGUCGCGAUCCUGAUGAAAAAAGCCGACGAGAACGACAUUCGCCUGCCGGGUGAAGUGGCGUUCUUUAUUGCCAAGCGCCUGCGUUCCAACGUUCGUGAGCUGGAAGGGGCACUGAACCGCGUUAUCGCCAACGCCAAUUUUACCGGUCGUGCGAUCACCAUCGAUUUUGUGCGUGAAGCGCUGCGCGAUUUGUUGGCAUUGCAGGAAAAACUGGUCACCAUCGACAAUAUUCAGAAGACGGUGGCUGAGUACUACAAGAUCAAAGUGGCAGAUUUACUGUCUAAACGUCGUUCCCGCUCGGUGGCGCGUCCGCGUCAGAUGGCGAUGGCGCUGGCAAAAGAGCUCACCAAUCACAGCCUGCCGGAAAUCGGUGAUGCGUUUGGUGGACGUGACCAUACGACCGUGCUGCACGCCUGUCGCAAGAUUGAGCAGUUACGCGAAGAAAGCCACGACAUAAAAGAAGAUUUUU
RNAcentral lists this ribosomal RNA (1277 nucleotides) under bacterium. Its description in RNAcentral is "partial 16S ribosomal RNA". The record is from RNAcentral.